GGUGGUUCAGUGGUGGAAUGCUUGCCUCGCAUGCAUGAGGCCCUGGGUUCGAUUCCUCAGCACCA
This 65-nucleotide transfer RNA is filed under the name Dipodomys ordii (Ord's kangaroo rat). It matches the Rfam family "tRNA". From Rfam's summary of the family: Transfer RNA (tRNA) molecules are approximately 80 nucleotides in length. Their secondary structure includes four short double-helical elements and three loops (D, anti-codon, and T loops). The record is from Rfam by way of RNAcentral. Lineage: Eukaryota; Metazoa; Chordata; Mammalia; Rodentia; Heteromyidae.